This 2429-nucleotide ribosomal RNA is filed under the name Escherichia coli. RNAcentral's name for it is "partial 23S ribosomal RNA". It matches the Rfam family "Bacterial large subunit ribosomal RNA", at positions 382 to 2798 of the family's 2925-position model. Lineage: Bacteria; Pseudomonadati; Pseudomonadota; Gammaproteobacteria; Enterobacterales; Enterobacteriaceae. The record is from RNAcentral.
AAAAUGCACAUACUGUGAGCUCGAUGAGUAGGGCGGGACACGUGGUAUCCUGUCUGAAUAUGGGGGGACCAUCCUCCAAGGCUAAAUACUCCUGACUGACCGAUAGUGAACCAGUACCGUGAGGGAAAGGCGAAAAGAACCCCGGCGAGGGGAGUGAAAAAGAACCUGAAACCGUGUACGUACAAGCAGUGGGAGCACGCUUCGGCGUGUGACUGCGUACCUUUUGUAUAAUGGGUCAGCGACUUAUAUUCUGUAGCAAGGUUAACCGAAUAGGGGAGCCGAAGGGAAACCGAGUCUUAACUGGGCGUUAAGUUGCAGGGUAUAGACCCGAAACCCGGUGAUCUAGCCAUGGGCAGGUUGAAGGUUGGGUAACACUAACUGGAGGACCGAACCGACUAAUGUUGAAAAAUUAGCGGAUGACUUGUGGCUGGGGGUGAAAGGCCAAUCAAACCGGGAGAUAGCUGGUUCUCCCCGAAAGCUAUUUAGGUAGCGCCUCGUGAAUUCAUCUCCGGGGGUAGAGCACUGUUUCGGCAAGGGGGUCAUCCCGACUUACCAACCCGAUGCAAACUGCGAAUACCGGAGAAUGUUAUCACGGGAGACACACGGCGGGUGCUAACGUCCGUCGUGAAGAGGGAAACAACCCAGACCGCCAGCUAAGGUCCCAAAGUCAUGGUUAAGUGGGAAACGAUGUGGGAAGGCCCAGACAGCCAGGAUGUUGGCUUAGAAGCAGCCAUCAUUUAAAGAAAGCGUAAUAGCUCACUGGUCGAGUCGGCCUGCGCGGAAGAUGUAACGGGGCUAAACCAUGCACCGAAGCUGCGGCAGCGACACUAUGUGUUGUUGGGUAGGGGAGCGUUCUGUAAGCCUGUGAAGGUGUGCUGUGAGGCAUGCUGGAGGUAUCAGAAGUGCGAAUGCUGACAUAAGUAACGAUAAAGCGGGUGAAAAGCCCGCUCGCCGGAAGACCAAGGGUUCCUGUCCAACGUUAAUCGGGGCAGGGUGAGUCGACCCCUAAGGCGAGGCCGAAAGGCGUAGUCGAUGGGAAACAGGUUAAUAUUCCUGUACUUGGUGUUACUGCGAAGGGGGGACGGAGAAGGCUAUGUUGGCCGGGCGACGGUUGUCCCGGUUUAAGCGUGUAGGCUGGUUUUCCAGGCAAAUCCGGAAAAUCAAGGCUGAGGCGUGAUGACGAGGCACUACGGUGCUGAAGCAACAAAUGCCCUGCUUCCAGGAAAAGCCUCUAAGCAUCAGGUAACAUUAAAUCGUACCCCAAACCGACACAGGUGGUCAGGUAGAGAAUACCAAGGCGCUUGAGAGAACUCGGGUGAAGGAACUAGGCAAAAUGGUGCCGUAACUUCGGGAGAAGGCACGCUGAUAUGUAGGUGAAGUCCCUCGCGGAUGGAGCUGAAAUCAGUCGAAGAUACCAGCUGGCUGCAACUGUUUAUUAAAAACACAGCACUGUGCAAACACGAAAGUGGACGUAUACGGUGUGACGCCUGCCCGGUGCCGGAAGGUUAAUUGAUGGGGUUAGCGGUAACGCGAAGCUCUUGAUCGAAGCCCCGGUAAACGGCGGCCGUAACUAUAACGGUCCUAAGGUAGCGAAAUUCCUUGUCGGGUAAGUUCCGACCUGCACGAAUGGCGUAAUGAUGGCCAGGCUGUCUCCACCCGAGACUCAGUGAAAUUGAACUCGCUGUGAAGAUGCAGUGUACCCGCGGCAAGACGGAAAGACCCCGUGAACCUUUACUAUAGCUUGACACUGAACAUUGAGCCUUGAUGUGUAGGAUAGGUGGGAGGCUUUGAAGUGUGGACGCCAGUCUGCAUGGAGCCGACCUUGAAAUACCACCCUUUAAUGUUUGAUGUUCUAACGUUGACCCGUGAUCCGGGUUGCGGACAGUGUCUGGUGGGUAGUUUGACUGGGGCGGUCUCCUCCUAAAGAGUAACGGAGGAGCACGAAGGUUGGCUAAUCCUGGUCGGACAUCAGGAGGUUAGUGCAAUGGCAUAAGCCAGCUUGACUGCGAGCGUGACGGCGCGAGCAGGUGCGAAAGCAGGUCAUAGUGAUCCGGUGGUUCUGAAUGGAAGGGCCAUCGCUCAACGGAUAAAAGGUACUCCGGGGAUAACAGGCUGAUACCGCCCAAGAGUUCAUAUCGACGGCGGUGUUUGGCACCUCGAUGUCGGCUCAUCACAUCCUGGGGCUGAAGUAGGUCCCAAGGGUAUGGCUGUUCGCCAUUUAAAGUGGUACGCGAGCUGGGUUUAGAACGUCGUGAGACAGUUCGGUCCCUAUCUGCCGUGGGCGCUGGAGAACUGAGGGGGGCUGCUCCUAGUACGAGAGGACCGGAGUGGACGCAUCACUGGUGUUCGGGUUGUCAUGCCAAUGGCACUGCCCGGUAGCUAAAUGCGGAAGAGAUAAGUGCUGAAAGCAUCUAAGCACGAAACUUGCC